CUCAAAGAUUAAGCCAUGCAAGUCUAAGUAUAAGCAACUAUACGGUGAAACUGCGAAUGGCUCAUUAAAUCAGUUAUCGUUUAUUUGAUAGUACCUUACUACAUGGAUAACCGUGGUAAUUCUAGAGCUAAUACAUGCUAAAAACCCCGACUUCGGAAGGGGUGUGUUUAUUAGAUAAAAAACCAAUGCCCUUCGGGGCUCCUUGGUGAAUCAUAAUAACCUAACGAAUCGCAUGGCCUUGCGCCGGCGAUGGUUCAUUCAAAUUUCUGCCCUAUCAACUUUCGAUGGUAGGAUAGUGGCCUACCAUGGUAUCAACGGGUAACGGGGAAUUAGGGUUCUAUUCCGGAGAGGGAGCCUGAGAAACGGCUACCACAUCCAAGGAAGGCAGCAGGCGCGCAAAUUACCCAAUCCCGACACGGGGAGGUAGUGACAAUAAAUACUGAUACAGGGCUCUUUUGGGUCUUGUAAUUGGAAUGAGUACAAUUUAAAUCCCUUAACGAGGAACAAUUGGAGGGCAG
This 518-nucleotide ribosomal RNA is filed under the name melanized limestone ascomycete CR-2004. RNAcentral's name for it is "SSU rRNA". It matches the Rfam family "Eukaryotic small subunit ribosomal RNA", at positions 36 to 558 of the family's 1831-position model. The record is from RNAcentral. Lineage: Eukaryota; Fungi; Ascomycota.